Molecule: long non-coding RNA, 2305 nt
Filed under: Mus pahari (shrew mouse)
Lineage: Eukaryota; Metazoa; Chordata; Mammalia; Rodentia; Muridae
Description: lncRNA (MGP_PahariEiJ_G0005187.1)
Source: RNAcentral
ACUCACCCGCUAAGGCUUCGCGCCGCCCCAUAGAUGAGAUUAGGGGCGACUCCGAUUCUCUUUUUAAGGAUGGCCUGUGCCAGGUGGAGGAGGGAGAACUACCGAGAUGGAGGAUGGAGGCGCGGGGGUGGAAGCAGCUGAGCCCGAGGCCAUUUGGGAGCCCGAGGCCGCGCCCUGGCCUGGAGAUGGGGCUCCUGGGUCCAGGCUUGCACAGCUCCACGCCCAGGUCGCUGGAGCGUCGCUGCGACCCCUUCCUGAGGACGGGCCUGAGUUUUGCAGAGGUAGAAACGAGUGUUUUUAUAACCCUCCCCUGUCACCUGACCCCGGACAGACUUGGCACCAUUUGUCCAGGGCAGAGAAGUGUUUGGUAGUUAAACUGGCAAACGCUGGCUGUGCUGUGAUACUAAAAAGGGCUAUAAUGACAGCUCCCGGAUCUAGCCCAUUGGGGUCUGCAUGCCAUCUUCGCUGGGUUUCCUGACCCCGCGCCCAGAAACGGCUAUUCGAGCCAGACUUUUGGAAGUAAGGGUGCAUUAAGUUAACUGUUCCAAAAUUACAACUUUUAAGUUUAGGCAUGCAAGUGCACGCCUAAGUCCCAGCACUCGGGAGGCUGAGGCAGGAGGAUUUGGAGUUCGAGACCACUCUAGACUACAUAGUAAUGCCAUUUUGGAAAAAAAUGCAUCUUUUGGUUUGAAAAAUUAUGGUUACAUCUUUUAAAUCUUAUGUCUGUGGGUGUUCUGCCCGCAUGUAUAUCUGUGUACCACAUGCAUGCUCAAGGAGGCCAGCGGAGGGCACUUAGAUACCCUGGAACUGGCGUUAGCAGUGAUGAGUUGCCUUAUGGGUGCUAGGGAACCAAAGCUAGGUCUUGUGGGAGGGUCACCUCUUAACAGAUUCGCAGGCUCUCUGGCCCCCUUUGUGGUUAUAUCUUGUGCAUCCAUAUGCUCACUAUGGUACCAACCUUUCAGUCGCAUCUUGUUUGGCCUGCCCUAGGUAGCUAUUUCCUCAGGAUGGAAAGCGGGACUCGGGACACCCACAAGAUCCCAGAGGCCUUCUGGAUCAUGUAAGGAGUACACUGUUGCUGGUUAGAGGAGGCUUUCUGGAGCCUUGCAGGCUGUGUCAUGAACCCCAGUGAGCAUGUUUUCCCAUGCUAGGGUGGACUUCACAGUGUUGGCACUGCCUCAGUUACCCAUACACCUCUAAAUAGCCAUGCACUUGUAGGUAACCCCUAUGAGCUUAGCUGUUCACUGAGGCAGAGCUGAAUGGAAUUGAGGCAGAAUAGAAAGACAGAGACAUCAAGGCCCAUGGGAACUGAGAGAAGCCCUCAACCUGACCUUUCUUGCUGGCUGACUGAGAGUUAAGAAACCAGCAAGAUUGAUAAAGGCAGUAUUGCCUCCAGAGACAGCGAGUUUUCCUCAAGACAACACUAACAGGAUGUUAAAAACAGGAAAUAAAUUGUGCACACUCAUGGCCAGAGUGUUUGUGAGGAUCUAGCUUGAAUAACAAAAGCACCAAAUUAAGCAAGAGACCCUGUCUUGAAAAUUCUCCCAUCUCUUGAGGACCUCUGACCUAUAAGUACCCAGGCAGACAUGCAAAUGCAUGUGCACACACACACACACACUCAAGAAUAAAAUAUAAGCUCGACUUGGCGAUGGCUGGAGAGGCGGCUCUGUAAUUAAUAGCACUUGCUGCUUUUGUAGAGGACCCAGGUAUGGUUUCCAAUACUCACACAAUAGCUCACAACUAUCUGUGCUACAGUUCCAGGGGACAUGAUGCCCUCCUCUGACUUUUGAAUGUGCAUGCUGCACAUACAUACAUACAUGUAUGCAAAACACUCAUAUACAUAAAAUUAAAAAAAAAUUUUUAAGUUACCAGCUCAUGUAUUUUACUUAACAUUAACUUAUGUAAUUAGUUAUUUUGAGGCAGGAUCUCAUAUAGCCCAGGUUAGCCUCAGACUUCCCAUGAAGCCUGGGGUUCCAUCCCCUGUACUGUAUAAACGUGGUGGUGGUGGUGGUGGUAGUGGUGGUGGUGGUAACUCGUGCUUGUAGUUUCAACACUUGGAAAGUGAAGGUGGGAAGAUCGGAAGUUCAAGGCCAUCCUCCUUUACAAAACGUUAAGCUUUGACUACUCUUGAAAGCUUAUAAACUGCAUCUUUUGAAGAAUGUGACUUAGCAGACUAUAGGUUGCUAUGUGCAGCCAUUGUGAAGCUAAGUCUGACUUCCAGGGAAAGCCCACACAGCCGUCAUGAGACUGUGUAUUCUCCUCCUCGGUGACUGUCUCCAUAUUUAAUAAACUCACUGACUUUGCUUCU